CCCUUAGAUGUUCUGGGCUGCACACGUGCUACACUGGCAGGUUCAGCGAGCUUCAUGCCCUGAUCUGAAAGGAAUGGGAAAUCUUUUCAAAACCUGCCGUGCUUGGGAUAGAUGUUUGCAAUUAUUCAUCUUCAACGAGGAUUGCCUUGUAAGCGCACGUCAUCAUCCCGCGCUGAAUACGUCCCUGCCCUUUGUACACACCGCCCGUCGCUCCUACCGAUUGAGUGGUCCGGUGAGGCUUUGGGAUCUGAGCGGAAAGAGCGUUUCGCUGUUUCUGCUCGGAAAACUCAGUCGAACCUUAUCAUUUAGAGGAAGGAGAAGUCGUAACA
Molecule: ribosomal RNA, 329 nt
Filed under: uncultured eukaryote
Lineage: Eukaryota
Description: partial 18S ribosomal RNA
Rfam family: Eukaryotic small subunit ribosomal RNA
Source: RNAcentral